AGUGUGUAGCUCAAUGCUUGAGCACUUGCCUAGUAUGCACAGGGUCCUGGGUUCAAUUCCUAGUACUA
RNAcentral lists this transfer RNA (68 nucleotides) under Marmota monax (woodchuck). Its description in RNAcentral is "tRNA.Thr". The record is from RNAcentral. Lineage: Eukaryota; Metazoa; Chordata; Mammalia; Rodentia; Sciuridae.